RNAcentral lists this ribosomal RNA (253 nucleotides) under uncultured bacterium. Its description in RNAcentral is "partial 16S ribosomal RNA". It matches the Rfam family "Bacterial small subunit ribosomal RNA", at positions 524 to 776 of the family's 1533-position model. The record is from RNAcentral.
UACAGAGGUCCCAAGCGUUGUUCGGAUUCACUGGGCGUAAAGGGUGCGUAGGUGGUUGGGCAAGUCUGAUGUGAAAUCUCCGGGCUUAACCCGGAAAUGGCAUUGGAAACUGCUCGGCUAGAGUGUUGGAGGGGGGACUGGAAUUCUCGGUGUAGCAGUGAAAUGCGUAGAUAUCGUAAGGAAGACCAGUGGCGAAGGCGGGUCUCUGGACAGUUCCUGACGCUGAGGCACGAAGGCCAGGGGAGCAAACGGG